This 253-nucleotide ribosomal RNA is filed under the name uncultured bacterium. RNAcentral's name for it is "partial 16S ribosomal RNA". It matches the Rfam family "Bacterial small subunit ribosomal RNA", at positions 524 to 776 of the family's 1533-position model. The record is from RNAcentral.
UACGUAGGGGGCAAGCGUUGUCCGGAAUUAUUGGGCGUAAAGCGCGUGUAGGCGGCUUCGUAAGUCCGUUGUGAAAGUCCAGGGCUCAACCCUGGAAUGCCGAUGGAUACUGCGGAGCUAGAGUCCGGAAGAGGCGAGUGGAAUUCCUGGUGUAGCGGUGAAAUGCGCAGAUAUCAGGAGGAACACCAAUGGCGAAGGCAGCUCGCUGGGACGGUACUGACGCUGAGACGCGAAAGCGUGGGGAGCAAACAGG